GAUGAACGCUGGCGGCGUGCUUAAUACAUGCAAGUCGAACGGAGAAUUGUAGCAAUAUAGUUCUCAGUGGCGAACGGGUGAGUAACACGUUGGUGACCUGCCCCGAAGUGUGGGAUAACAGUCCGAAAGGAUUGCUAAUACCGCAUGUGGUCAUCGGAUUUAGAAACCGAUGACUAAAGGAGCAAUUCGCUUUGGGAGGGACCUGCGUCCCAUCAGCUAGUUGGUGAGGUAAUGGCUCACCAAGGCGACGACGGGUAGGGGACCUGAGAGGGUGGCCCCCCACAAUGGAACUGAAACACGGUCCAUACACCUACGGGUGGCAGCAGUAGGGAAUAUUGGUCAAUGGGCGAAAGCCUGAACCAGCAACACCGCGUGUGCGAUGAAGGCCUUCGGGUCGUAAAGCACUUUUCUGAGAGAUGAGAAAGGACAGUAUCUCAGGAAUAAGUCUCGGCUAACUACGUGCCAGCAGCCGCGGUAAAACGUAGGAGGCAAGCGUUAUCCGGAUUCACUGGGCGUAAAGCGCGUGCAGGCGGUUCGGUAAGUUGGGCGUGAAAUCUCCCGGCUCAACUGGGAGAGGUCGUUCAAUACUAC
RNAcentral lists this ribosomal RNA (591 nucleotides) under uncultured bacterium. RNAcentral describes it as "bacterial SSU rRNA". It matches the Rfam family "Bacterial small subunit ribosomal RNA", at positions 28 to 636 of the family's 1533-position model. The record is from RNAcentral.